GAUGAACGCUGGCGGCGUGCCUAAUACAUGCAAGUCGAGCGAACAGACGAGGAGCUUGCUCCUCUGACGUUAGCGGCGGACGGGUGAGUAACACGUGGAUAACCUACCUAUAAGACUGGGAUAACUUCGGGAAACCGGAGCUAAUACCGGAUAAUAUAUUGAACCGCAUGGUUCAAUAGUGAAAGACGGUUUUGCUGUCACUUAUAGAUGGAUCCGCGCCGCAUUAGCUAGUUGGUAAGGUAACGGCUUACCAAGGCAACGAUGCGUAGCCGACCUGAGAGGGUGAGAGGGAAGAGUGGAAGUGAGUCGCGGGAGAGACACUGGCGGGCGGCAGCAGCACGUAGUCUGACGGGAUGCGCUAAAGAUGGAUGGAGGAAAUGGGGAGGAAACAGGAAGGUCUAAGGAGGGUAGAAAUCUGUAAGUCGGGCAGAACAAAAGCGUAAGUAACUAUGCAGAGCUGGACGGGAACUAAUCAGAAAGCCACGGCUAACGUGGUC
This 497-nucleotide ribosomal RNA is filed under the name uncultured bacterium. RNAcentral describes it as "partial 16S ribosomal RNA". The stretch from base 20 to 341 matches the Rfam family "Bacterial small subunit ribosomal RNA", at positions 47 to 358 of the family's 1533-position model. The record is from RNAcentral.